RNAcentral lists this small RNA (666 nucleotides) under Pan troglodytes (chimpanzee). RNAcentral describes it as "processed transcript". Lineage: Eukaryota; Metazoa; Chordata; Mammalia; Primates; Hominidae. The record is from RNAcentral.
UGGUGAAUUUGGGUCUGUCCCGGGUGGACGACGCCGUGGCUGCCAAGCACCCGGCACUGGCAUGGCCUUUGGCUUGCAGAUGUUCAUUCAGAGGAAGUUUCCAUACCCUUUGCAGUGGAGCCUCCUAGUGGCCGUGGUUGCAGGCUCUGUGGUCAGCUACGGGGUGACGAGAGUGGAGUCGGAGAAAUGCAACAACCUCUGGCUCUUCCUGGAGACCGGGCAGCUCCCCAAAGACAGGAGCACAGAUCAGAGAAGCUAGGAGAGCUCCAGCAGGGGCACAGAGGAUUGGGGGCAGGAGGAGUCUGGAACACAGCCUUCAUGCCCCCUGACCCCAGGCCGACCCUCCCCACACCCUAGGGUACCCCAGUCGUAUCCUCUGUCCGCAUGCGUGGCCAGGCCUGACAAACACCUGCAGACGGCUGCUGCCCCAACCUGGGACCUGCCCAGGAGGUUGGAGCAGAAAGGGCUCUCCCUGGGGUGGUGUUUCUCCUCUAGGGUAUUGGGAUGCAUGUUCUGCACUGCCAGCAGAGAGGGUGUGUCUGGACACGGGGUAGAAGGGGCCUGUACACUCUGUCAUUUCCUUUCUAGCCCCUGCAUCUCCGACAAGUCCAAGGUGACAGCUGGUGCUAGGGGCGUGGGGUUAAUAAAUGGCUUAUCCUUCUCUCC